GCGUGUAGCAGUGAAAUGCGUAGAUAUGCGGAGGAACACCGAUGGCGAAGGCAGCCCCCUGGGAUAAUACUGACGCUCAUGCACGAAAGCGUGGGGAGCAAACAGGAUUAGAUACCCUGGUAGUCCACGCCCUAAACGAUGUCAACUAGCUGUUGGGGCCUUCGGGCCUUAGUAGCGCAGCUAACGCGUGAAGUUGACCGCCUGGGGAGUACGGUCGCAAGAUUAAAACUCAAAGGAAUUGACGGGGACCCGCACAAGCGGUGGAUGAUGUGGAUUAAUUCGAUGCAACGCGAAAAACCUUACCUACCCUUGACAUGUCUGGAAUCCCGAAGAGAUUUGGGAGUGCUCGCAAGAGAACUGGAACACAGGUGCUGCAUGGCUGUCGUCAGCU
This 391-nucleotide ribosomal RNA is filed under the name uncultured Pseudomonadota bacterium. Its description in RNAcentral is "bacterial SSU rRNA". It matches the Rfam family "Bacterial small subunit ribosomal RNA", at positions 671 to 1060 of the family's 1533-position model. The record is from RNAcentral. Lineage: Bacteria; Pseudomonadati; Pseudomonadota.